AUGGUUGAACUUGAAAGGCUUGUCAUGUUUCCUACUUUUUAUCGCCUAAGUGAGUUGGCACUGCUACUACCGGUAGCAACGGCAAUAGUUGAAAGGGUCUUCUAAUCAAUGAAAAUCAUCAAGACUGAGUUGCGCAGCAAGACGACCGGUGGCUGGCUUAAUGGCUUGAUGGUUUGUUAUAUUGAGUGAGAGAUCUUCAAAAGUAUUGAUCUUCGUAAAAUUAAGAAAGAUUUUUAG
This 237-nucleotide ribosomal RNA is filed under the name Triticum aestivum (bread wheat). RNAcentral describes it as "partial small subunit ribosomal RNA". The record is from RNAcentral. Lineage: Eukaryota; Viridiplantae; Streptophyta; Magnoliopsida; Poales; Poaceae.